RNAcentral lists this small RNA (90 nucleotides) under Flavobacterium cauense R2A-7. Its description in RNAcentral is "Flavo-1 RNA". It matches the Rfam family "Flavo-1 RNA". The record is from RNAcentral. Lineage: Bacteria; Pseudomonadati; Bacteroidota; Flavobacteriia; Flavobacteriales; Flavobacteriaceae.
CUUUAGCCCUGAUGGAAGCGGCAUCCUUUUUUUGGUGGCUGAGGCUCUCGAAGCCAUCAAAAAAAGAUACAGCGGACAGCAGGAAAUACG